CGUGUAGGCGGCCAGGUAGGUCUGCUGUGAAAACUCGAGGCUUAACCUCGAGAUGUCGGUGGAAACCAUCUGGCUAGAGUCCGGAAGAGGAGAGUGGAAUUCCUGGUGUAGCGGUGAAAUGCGCAGAUAUCAGGAAGAACACCCGUGGCGAAGGCGGCUCUCUGGGACGGUACUGACGCUGAGACGCGAAAGCGUGGGGAGCGAACA
RNAcentral lists this ribosomal RNA (207 nucleotides) under uncultured bacterium. RNAcentral describes it as "partial 16S ribosomal RNA". It matches the Rfam family "Bacterial small subunit ribosomal RNA", at positions 568 to 774 of the family's 1533-position model. The record is from RNAcentral.